GCUGGGCUCUGCUUUUUAUCUUUAAAUUUCCGCCUGUUAAAGGUAGUACAGAAAAAGAUAAGUAAUUUGGUGCCAAUUAAUUUUCUGAUUGCUUUAAAAGUCGUCACAAGUUCUCAUGUCCUUAAAGUGGUUUCUAGUGGUUCCAAUCAAGUCUCCCAAACAUGUCAGAGGAACGUAUCUUAUAAUUAGAACCUCGUUAACUAACGAGCAGAUCUUAUUUGUCGUUUAAUUUUUAACAGCUUGUUCAUAUUUGGGUUAUUACGAGGGUGCCAUACGUAUAU
This is a non-coding RNA of Paramuricea clavata, 281 nucleotides long. The record is from the annotation of a GenBank genome assembly. Lineage: Eukaryota; Metazoa; Cnidaria; Anthozoa; Malacalcyonacea; Plexauridae.